RNAcentral lists this ribosomal RNA (253 nucleotides) under uncultured bacterium. RNAcentral's name for it is "partial 16S ribosomal RNA". It matches the Rfam family "Bacterial small subunit ribosomal RNA", at positions 524 to 776 of the family's 1533-position model. The record is from RNAcentral.
UACGUAGGGGGCAAGCGUUGUCCGGAAUCAUUGGGCGUAAAGCGCGUGUAGGCGGUUCGAUUAGUCCGCUGUGAAAGUCGGGGGCUCAACCCUCGAAUGCCGGUGGAUACUGUCGGGCUAGAGUGCGGAAGAGGCGAGUGGAAUUCCUGGUGUAGCGGUGAAAUGCGCAGAUAUCAGGAGGAACACCAAUUGCGAAGGCAGCUCGCUGGGACGUUACUGACGCUGAGACGCGAAAGCGUGGGGAGCAAACAGG